AAGAUUUUAAGUUAAAAAAACUAUUUGCCUUCAAAGCAAAAAAUAUAGGAAAAGUAAGUCUUA
RNAcentral lists this transfer RNA (63 nucleotides) under Alectorobius amblus. RNAcentral's name for it is "tRNA-Trp". The record is from RNAcentral. Lineage: Eukaryota; Metazoa; Arthropoda; Arachnida; Ixodida; Argasidae.